GGAGGUGGCUCAAGUGGUAGUGCGCCUGCCUAGCGUGCAUGAGGCACUGGGUUUGAUUCUCAGCACCA
RNAcentral lists this transfer RNA (68 nucleotides) under Marmota monax (woodchuck). RNAcentral describes it as "tRNA.Ala". The record is from RNAcentral. Lineage: Eukaryota; Metazoa; Chordata; Mammalia; Rodentia; Sciuridae.